GGGUGACGUGAUGAUAACAAAGAGUCACUGGCAGGAGAUUCUGUUUGCUGGAGGGGAAACAGGAUGGUUCAUUUUGAACAUUGUUUGAAAGCAUGCCU
Dipodomys spectabilis (banner-tailed kangaroo rat) is the source of this 98-nucleotide long non-coding RNA. RefSeq lists it as uncharacterized. The record is from RefSeq and is a predicted model, not a curated record. The transcript has 3 exons. NCBI's taxonomy places the organism in Eukaryota, Metazoa, Chordata, Mammalia, Rodentia, Heteromyidae.